Molecule: long non-coding RNA, 19501 nt
Organism: Orcinus orca (killer whale)
Lineage: Eukaryota; Metazoa; Chordata; Mammalia; Artiodactyla; Delphinidae
Exons: 2
Source: RefSeq, a predicted model, not a curated record
AGGGGUGGGAGGAGAGUCGUUAUACUACUACACUACCGGUCCCUAACUCUCGAGCAAUUAAAUUCAGACCAAGUAUUGUUGCCCUUUAGAUGCAAAAGAAAUCUGGACAAAGAUUCUGAGUAAUAGAAAGAUUCUAGUCAGUAUUUUGUUUCAUUUAUUAUUAAAUAGCACAUGAUUUUGGGAGGAUGGGGGCAGUGGGACAGCAUAGUUUUUUAAUUUCUCCAAAUAUCAUGGCAUAAAAACAGACUGAGCAGCUAGACAGCAAAGCCAAACAUCCAUAAAUAGCAGUUCUGCUUCUGGUAACAGCAGAGUAGGUUGUAUCAGACCAACCCCUCCUAUAGAUAACAAUUACAGACUGGACAGAAUAUAUCAAAACAGCUAUCUGAAGGCCCUGAGAGUGACCAAAAUCAGACAUAGACUGUAGGGCAGUCAACACUUAUAUAAGAAGGGAACGGUACUUGGAACUUCCUGAGGGCAAGGACUUUGGCUUACUGUGUUCUUGGUGCUCAGUUUGGUAAUUAGAUCAUGGUAGGUACUUGGAGGUGUCUUUGGGAGGGAAAGGUGGAGCUGGUAGUCAUUAGAAAGAUGGAAGCAAUAUGGCAUAGCAGAAAAAGCAUGGACAGAUCUGGAGUAACCAGUUACUCCUACCACUUAGAUAGGACAUCAUCUAGCCCCUCUGAGCCUAUUUUCCUUAUCUCAUGUAUGAUCUCACUUGAUACUCUUUAACAACCCCAUGAAGCAAACAUUCUUAUUCCCAUUUUAGAAUGAGGAAAUGGUGUCUGAGGACUAACCCAAAGUAAACAUAGCUAGAAAGUGGCCAGGCUAGGAUGUUAAUACAGGCCCUAAAAUUCCCACUUCCAAUGCUGUUUCCACUGUAGCAAAGAGAAUAGUGGUCAUUUGAAAAGGUUUCCUGGUUUUUUUUAUAGCUUUUCACCCAUGGGCAGGCUGCACUUGCUGUAAUAUGGAGGUGGGUAAAACUUGGAUAGAAACCAGUCUUAUCGGAUGAGGAAGGAGAGAACUGAGUUCAGGGUGACUGUAGCAACUGAAACCUGAGAAGAUAUCCCAGGAGAGAACCACAGAGGAGGAGCCCUAAUUGUAUAAAGCCUGCCCAAAUCUCUGGCAGACUACUAAGCUAUACAGGAUCGACUCCAAGCACCCUAGAUAGAGCUAAAAUAACUGAAUGGAUAAUCCAGCUACUGCCCAAUGCAGAGGAAACAGAAUUUUGAAUUUUCGUUCUAGACAAAUGAAAACUAACUAAAAUGAAAAAUCAGUAUGUUUUAGAGGAACAAAACGGAAUUCAUAAUCUCUACAACAUAACCAUUCAAAAAGUCUGGGAUUCAGUCCUCAACUACUAUACGUAUGGGAAAAAAAAAGAAAGAAAACGUGACUUAUACUCAAGAGGAAAAGCAAUCAAUGAAGACCAACCCGAAGAUGACUCAGAUGUUGAAAUUAGCAGAUAAGGACUUUAAAGCAGCUUAUUUCUAUGCUCAAGGGCAUAGGGGAAAAUAUACUUGUAAUGAAUGAAAAAGUAAGAAAUCUCAGAGAAGUAGAAACUAUGCACAAAAAAUUCUGGAACUGAAAAAUACAAUAUCUGAAGUUUAAAAAUCAAACCAGCCUCAUAGAUACAGACAAAAAAACGGGUGGUUGCCACAGGAGAGGGAGGUUGGAGAGGGGAAAUAGGUGAAGGGGAUUAAGAGCUAUAAACCUCUAGUUAUAAAAUAAAUAAAGCCACGGGGGUGUAAUAUACAGCAUAAGAAACGUGGUCAAUAAUAUUGUGAUAACUUUGUGUAGGGACAGAUGGUUACCAGAUUUAUGAUGGUGAUCAUUUCAUAAUGUAUGCAAAUGUCAAACCACUGUAAUACACCUGAAACUAACAUAAUAUUGUACAUCAACUAUAUUUCAAUUUUUUUAAAUUGGAUGAGAUUAAUAGCAGAUUGGCAAUGACAGGAGAAAGGGUUGGUUAACUUGAAAUAAGCCAAUCUGAAGGAAAAAAAAAGAUUGGUUAAAAAUGAAGAGCCUCAAUGACCUGUGGAACAAUGUAAAAAGGUCUACCUUAUGUACAAUUGGAAUACCAGUAGGAGAGAAUAAAGAGAGAGAAGGGGCCAUUAAAAAAAAUUGAAGAAAUAAUGGCUGAAAUGUUCCCCAAAUCUGUGAAACACAAAUUUAGAAAUUUAGAAAUAGCAGUAAGCCCUAACUAAGCAGGUUUUAAAUACAGUGAAAACCAAGCAUAGAGACAUCAUAGUCAAACUCCCGAAAACAAAAGAAAAAGAGAAUCUUAAAAGCAGCCAGAGAUAAAGUACAUAUUACACACAGAAGAACAGUGAUAUGAAUUGUUGUCACCUUCGCAUUUGAAAGUGGGUCCCAGAGAUAGUGAAGUAAUGCCUCAAUUAAACACCCCAAUUUUAUUUAUUUAUUUAUUUAUUUUUCAUUGUGUUGGGUCUUCGUUGCUGUGCACGGGCUUUCUCUAGUUGCGUUGAGUGAGGGCUGCUCUUUGUUGUGGUGCGUGGGCUUCUCAUUGCGGUGGCUUCUCUUGUUGCGGAGCACAGGCUCUAGGCACUUGGGCUUCAGUAGUUGUGGCACGCGGGCUCCGUAGUUGUGGCACAGGGGCUUAGUUGCUCUGCGGCACGUUAGAUCUUCCCAGACCAGGGCUCGAACCCGUGUCCCCUGCGUUGGCAGGCAGAUUCUUAACUACUGCGCCACCAGGGAAGUCCCUAAACACCCCAAUUUAAAAAUGAGUAAAAGACCUUAGACACCUCAGCAAAUAAGAUUAUAAAGAGGGGAAAUAAGCAUAUGAAAAGAUGCCCAACAUCAUAUGUCAUUAGGGAAUUGCAAAUUAAAACAACAGUGAUCCCACUACACCCCUAUAAGAAUGGCCAAAAUCCAAAAUACUGACAACACCAAAUGCUGGCAUGGAUAAUGGAGCAACAGGAACUGUCAUUCAUUGUUGGUGGGAAUGUAAAAUGGUACAGACACUUUGGAAGACAGUUUGUCAGAACUAAACAUUCUCUUACCAUACUAUCAAGCAGUCAUGCUCCUUGGUAUUUACCCAAAUGAGUUGAAGUUAGGUUCACACAAAAAUUGCACACAAAUGUUUAUAGCAGCUUUAUUCAUAAUUGCCAACAUUUGGAAGCAACCAAGAUGCCCUCAGUAGGCAAAUGGAUAAACUGUGGUACAUACAGACAUUGGAAUAAUAUUCAUUGCUAAAAACAAAUGAGCUAUCAAGACAUAAAAAGACAUGGAGGAACCUUAAAUGCGUAUUACUAAGUGAAAGAAGCUAAUCUGAAAAGGCUACAUACUGUAUGAUUCCAGCUACAUGACAUUCUGGAAAAUGCAAAACUAUGGAGAGAGUAAAAGGGUCAUUGGUUGCCAGGGAUUAGAGGAAAAGGAGGGAUGAAUAGGCAAAACACAGGAUUUUGGGGGCCAGUAGACUAUUCAGUAUGAUGCUGUAAUGGUGAAUAUAUGUCAUUAUACAUUUGCCCAAAUCCAUAGAAUGUACAACACCAAGAGUGAACCCUAAUGUAAACUGUGGACUUUGCAUGAUAAUGAUGCAUCAGUGUAGGUUCAUUGAUUAUAACAAAUGUACCACUGUGGCUCGAUGUUGAUAGUAGGGGGGAGGCUGUGUCUGUGUGGGGCAGGGGGUAUAUAGGAACGCUGUGUUCUUUUAAUUCAGUUUUACUGUAUACCUAAAACUGCUCUAAAACUAAGGUCUAUUUUUUAAAAAUAAUGCAAAGAGAGAAAGCUAUAAAGUCAAUGGAGAAAUUAAAAGGGAGGAAGGCAAGAAAGAAUGGAGAAACAAAAAACAGAUGAGAUGAACAGGAAACCAAUAGCAGAAUGGUAAAUCCCAAUCCAGCCAUGUCAGUAAUUAUGUUAAAUAUAAAUGGAGUAAACCUUCAAAUUAGAAAUCAGAGAUUGAUUACCAGACUCAACUGCAUGCUGUCUACAAGAGGUGCAUUCUAUUUGGUUCUUUUUGGGUUUUUUUUUUUGCGGUGCGCGGGCCUCUCACUGCUGUGGCCUCUCCCGUUGCGGAGCACAGGCUCCGGACGCGCAGGCUCAGUGGCCAUGGCUCACGGGCCCAGCCUCUCCGCGGCAUGUGGGAUCCUCCCGGACCGGGGCACGAACCCGUGUCCCCUGCAUCGGCAGGCGGACUCUCAACCACUGCGCCACCAGGGAAGCCCCUCUAUUUGUUUUUUAAUUGAAGUAUAGUUGAUUUACAAUAUUAGUUUCAGGUGUACAGCAAAAUGAUUUAGUAUUUUUGUAAAUUAUGCUCCAUUAUAAGUUGUUACAAGAUAAUGAGUAUCAUUCCCUGUGCUAUACAAUAUAUCCUUGUUGAUUAUCUAUAUUAUACAUAGUAGUUUGUAUCUGUUAAUCCCAUACCCCUAAUUUGUCCCUCCCCACUUUCCUCUGCCCCCUUUGGUAGCCACAAGUUUGUUUUCUAUAUCUGUGAGCGUGUUUCUGUUUUUCAUAUCCGUUCAUUUGUAUUACUUUUUAGAUUCCACAUAUAAGUGAUAUCAUACAGUGUUUGUCUUUCUCUGUCUGACUUAUUUCACUGAGCAUAAUACCCUCUAGGUCCAUCCAUGUUGCUGCAAAUUUCAGAAUUUCAUUCUUUUUUAUGGCUGAGUAGUAGUUCAUUCUCUGUGUGUAUGUAUGUAUACAUAUAUACAUAUAUAUAUACCACAUCGUCUUUAUCCAUUCAUCUGUUGAUGGACACUUGGGUUGCUUCCAUCUCUUGGCUGUUGUAAAUAGUGCUGCUAUAAACAUUGGGGUGCAUGUAUCUUUUCGAAUCAGUGUUUUCAUUUUUUCUAGAUAUAUACCUAGGAGUGGAAUUGCUGGAUCAUAUGGUAGUUCUAUUUUUAGUUUUUUGAGGAACCUCCGUACUGUUUUCCAUAGUGGCUGCACCAAUUUACAUUCUUACCAACAGUGUAAGAGGGUUCCCUUUUCUUCACAUCCUCUCCAACAUUUGUUAUUUGUAGACUUUGUGAUGAUAGCCAUUCUGACAGGUGUGAGGUAAUACCUAAUUUUGGUUUCGAUUUGCGUUUUUCUAAUAAUUAGUGAUGUUGAGCAUCUUUUCAUGUGCCUGUUAGCCAUCUGUAUGUCUUUGGAAAACUGUCUCUUCAGGUCUUCUGCCCAUUUAUUGGGUUCUUUGUUUUUUUUGAUGAUGACUUGUAUGAGCUGUUCAUAAUAUUUUGGAUAGUAAUCCCUUAUGGGUCACAGCAGUUGUAAAUAUUUGCUCCCACCAUCUAGGUUGUCUUUUCAUUUUGUCAGUAUUUUCCCUUGCUGUGUAAAAGCUUUUAAGUUUAAUUAUGUCCCAUGUGUUUAGUUUUGCUUUUACUUCUUUUGCCUUAGGAGACAGAGCCAAAAAAAAUAUUGCUACGAUUAAGUCAGAGUGUUCUGCCUAUAUUCUCUUCUAGGAGUUUUAUGGUUUCAGGUCUUAUAUUUAGGUCUCCUAAUCCAUUUUGAGUUCAUUUUUGUAUAUGGUGUGAGGGAAUGUUCUAAUCUCAUUGUUUUACAUGUAGCUGUCCAAUUUUCCCAGAACCACUUGUUGAAGAGACUGUUUUUGCUUCAUUGUAUAUUCUUGCCUCUUUUGUCAUAGAUUAAUUGACCAUAGCCUAUUUCUAGGCUCUCUAUUCUGUUCCAUUAAUCUGUAUGUCUGUUUUCGUGCCAGUACCAUGCUGUUUUGAUUACUGUAGCUUUUUAGUAUAGUCUGAAGUCUGGGGGCACUAUACCUCUGGCUUUGUUCUUUUUCCUCAAGAUUGCUUUGGCAAUUCAGGAUCUUUUGUGGUUCCAUAUGAAUUUUAGGGUUAUUUGCUCUAGUCCUGUGAAAAAUAUCAUGCAUAUUUUGAUAGGGAUUGCAUUAAAUCUGUAGAUUGCUUUGGACAGCAUGGCCAUUUUAAUAACAUUAAUUCUUCUAAUCCAAGAGCACAGGAUAUCUUUCCAUUUCUUUGUAUCAUCUUUAGUUUCCUUCAUAAAUGUUUUAUAGUUUUCAGAGUAUAGGUCUUUCCCCUUCUUAGUUAAGUUUAUUCCUAGGUAUUUGAUUCUUUUUGAUGCAAUUUUAAGCAGGAUUUUUUUUUUUACUUUCUGGCAUUUUAUUGUUAGUGUAUAGAAAUGCAACAAAUUUCUGUAUAUUGAUCUUGUAUCCUACAACCUUGCUGAAUUCAUUUAUUAGUUCUAAUAGUUUUUGGGUGGAGACUUUAGGGUUUUCUAGAUAUAGUACCACGUCAUCUGCAAAUAAUGACAGUUUUACCUCUUCCCUUCCGAUUUGGAUGCCUUUUAUUUCUUUCUUGUGUGAUUGCUGUGACUAGGACUUCUAAUACUGUGUUGAAUAGAAGUAGCGAGAAUGGGCAUCCUUGUCUUGUUCCAGAAUUUAGCAGGAAGGCUUUCAGCUUUUCACCAUUAAGUAUGACAUUGGUUGUGGGUUUGUCCUAAAUGGCCUUUGUUAUGUUGAGAUAUGUUCCCUCGAUACCCACUUUCAGAGUUUUUAUUAUUAAUGGAUGUUGAAUUUUGUCACAUUGGUCUUUCUGCAUCUAUUGAGACGAUCAUGUGAUUUUUAUCCUUCCUUUUGAUAAUGUGGUGUAUCACACUGAUUAAUUUGCAUAUAUUGAAUUACCCUUGUGACCCUAGAAUAAAUUCAGCUUGAUCGUGGUAUAUGAUCCUUUUUAUAUAUUUUUAGAUUUGGUUUGCUAAUAUUUUGUUGAGGAUUUUUGCAUUUAUAUUCAUCAAAUAUACUGGCCUGUAAUUUCCUUUUUUUGUAGUGCCACACUGUGGCAUGGAGUGAGCAGGGCCAGAACAUUCAGCUUGGGCUAGGGUACACACGCAGCAAAGCGGCUGUGGGAAACCCAGCAGCUCUGCUGCCAUCAGAAGUCUGGGCUGCUUCUGGGGCACCUCUUGAGUAAAUUCCAGCAAUGGUCACCACUGCUGCCCCACCUGGGCUCCACCCCAGAGCUGGGUCACCUCUCCAUCUCAAGGUCAAGUCUCUUCCCAGGUCCUGGCCACCUUAGAUCCAGUGUCAUGCUUGUGGCAUGAAGUGAGCAGGGCUAGAACAUUCUUUCAGCUCUGGCUUGAGAGCGCAGCAUGGCUGUUGCAUGAAACCAGUAGCCUAGGACAGCAGGCUACUGGUUUCUCUACCCUACCUGGGGGCAGUCUACCCACACAGUACUCAUGAGUGGAGCCCAGACUUCUCUGUGGACUUCUGUGUAUCUUUCUUACAACCUUGGUUGUACAGGAGUCUUUCUGCCAAUUUCCAGUUAGUUUUUGGUGAGAAUUGUUCCACACGUUGAUAUAUUUUUGAUGUGUUCAUGGGGAGAGGUGAACUCCACAUCUUCUUACACCACCCUCUUGAUCUCCUAUCAAGAGAUGCAUUUAAAUAUAAAGGUACAGAUUGGUGGAAUGUAAAAAGAUUUUUUAAAUAUACCAUGCUAACAGUAAACAUAAGAAAGCUGCAGUAGCUAUAUAAUGUCAGAUAAAGUAGACUUCAAGACAAAAGGUGUUACUGGACUUUCAAAAGGACAUUUAGUGCUGAUAAAAGGGGCAGUUUAUCUGGAGGACAUAGCAAUCAUAAACAUGUUUGUGACUAAUAACCACCUUCAAAUUACAUGAAGAAAAAAUUGACAAUUAAAUGGAGAAAUAGAGAAAUCUAUAGCCAUAGUUAGAGAUUUUCAUACUUCUCUUUCAAUAACUGAAAGAAUUUCUGGACAGAAAAUCAGUAAGGACAUAAAAGAUCUGGAGAAAACUCGCAGCCACCUUAACCUGUUUGACAUUUAUAGAAAAAUAUAUCCAAUAGCUGCAAAAUACACCUUUUUUCAAAUGCACAUGGUACGUUCACUAACUUAGACCAUAUUCUGGGCCACCAAAUAAGUGUCCAUAAACUUUCUUUUUUUAAUUAAUUAAUUUAUUUUUAUUUUAUUUUUAUUUUUUUUCUGGUACGCGGGCCUCUCACUGUUGUGGCCUCUCCCGUUGCGGAGCGCAGGCUCAGGGGCCAUGGCUCACAGGCCCAGCCGAUCCGCGGCAUGUGGGAUCUUCCCGGACCGGGGCACAAACCCGUGUCCCCUGCAUCGGCAGGCAGACUCUCAACCACUGUGCCACCAGGGAAGCCCUAAUUAAUUUAUUUUUAAAAUUAAUUAGUUAAUUAAUUUGGCUGCAUUGGGUCUUAGUUGUGGCACGUGGGAUCUUCGUCGCGGCACGCGAGAUCUUUCGUUGCGGCGUGUGGGCUCUUCAUUGCAGCGCUUGGGCUUCUCUCUAGUUGUGGCGCAUGGGCUCUAGAGCACGUGGGCUCAGUUCUGGCGCACAGGCUUAGUUGCCCCGUGGCAGGAGGGUUCUUAUUUCCCCAACCAGGGAUUGAACUCUUGUCACCUGCAUUGGAAGACAGAUUCUUAACCACUGGACCACCAGGGAAGUCCCUCCAUAAACUUUCAAAGAUUGAAAUUGCCCUAUGUUCUCUGACCACAACCUAAUUCAGUUAGCAAUCAAUGACAUAGGAAGUCCCUAAAUAUUUUCAAAUUAAACAACAUACUUAUAAAUAACCCAUCAGUCAAAGAAGAAAUCACAAAGAAAAUUAAGAAGUAUUUUUAACUGAAUGAUAAUGAAAUACAUUAAAACUUGUGGGAUACAACUAAAGCAGUGCUGAGAGAGAAAGGUAUAACUUUCAGUAGUUAUAUUAGAAAAAAGAAAGGUAAAAUCAGUUACUAAGGUACUAACUUAAGAAGUUGGAGAAAACAAGAACAAAAUAAGCUUAAAGUAUAUGGAAGAAAGGAAACAAAGAUGGAGAACCUCGGGGGGGUUGGUGGUCGUAAUGUUGCACAAAAGUCAAACAUAUGUAUACCCUCAUGACCUGGCAGUUUCACUCCCACGUAUAUACCUAAGGGGAAUGAGACCAUAUUUCCUCAAAAGGCUUGUACAAGAAUGCUCAUAGCAGCAUUAUUUGUAAUACCCCAAACUGAGCACUACUUAAAUGCCCAUACAUAGUAGAAUGGAUAAAUAAAUUUUGGCAUAUUCACACAGUGAAAUACUAUUUAGCAAUAAGGUUAAACAGACUAUAGUUCUUUACUUAUAAGUAACAAAUAUAGCUAAGUUUUACAAACAUAAUUUGAGUAAAAAAAGUCAGACACAAAAGAGAAUAAAGUUCAGACAUGGCUGAAACUUGUAUAUGCUGGUUAAAAGCCAGUAUGGUGCUCACCCUUAGUGGGAGAUCAUGAAUGGAACUGGACCUGAGGGGAACUUCUGAAGAGUUAGUAAUGUUUUGUAUCUUAAUCUGGGUACCGAUUACAUGGAUGUGUUCAGAUGUGAAAAUUGACUGAGCUAUACUGUGUCUGUGUAUUUUUCUGCAUGUAUGUUACAUUUCAGUAAAAAGACAAAAGAAAAAAUUCAUGGGUAAUAUUUACAGCAAAACUAAGUGACAGUGUAUCCCCAUGAAACUCAAAAUAAAAACAGUUAAGGGCAAAUCAUUCAUAGCCACAAAAUCAACAAGGAAUGGACAUCUGUGUAGGAGAAAGCAGAAGGAGUUGACAGACCAUGUGAAAGACCUGACAAACAGGAGAAUUCCAAAACAGCAAACAGGUAUUCACUAAAAAGCGUGGCAUUCUGACAAGUGUGAGGUGGUAUCUCAUUGCAUUUGAGGUGGUUUUGAUUUACAUUUCCCUUAUGAUUAGUGAUGUUGAGUACCUUUUCAUGUACCUGUUGGCCAUCUCUAUGUCUUCUUUGGAAAAAUGUCUAUUCAGGUCUUCUGCCCAUUUCUUAUUCAGAUUGUUUGUACUGAGUUGUAUGAGUUCUUUAUAUAUUUUGGAUAUUAACCCCUUAACAGACAUAUUAUUUGCAAAUAUCUUCUCCUAUUCAGUUAAGUUGCCUUUUUGUUUUGCUGGUGGUUCCCUUUGCUGUGCAAGUGUUUUAGCUUCAUAUGGUUCUGUUUGUUUAUUUUUGGUUUUGUUGCCGUUGCCUGAGGAGACAGAUCAAAAAAAUAUUGCUAAGACCAGUUUCAAAGAGCAUACUGCCUGUGUUUUCUUCUAGGUGUUUUAUGGUUUCAGGUCUUACAUUUAAGUCUUUAAUUCGUUUUGAGUUUAUUUUUGUAAAUGAUGUGAGAAAAUGGUCUAGUUUCAUUCUUUUACUUGUAGCUAUCCAGUUUUCCCAACAACACUAACCCAUAAAAAAGAAUGAAAUCUUGCAAUCUGUGACAACAUGGAUGGACCUGGAGGGUAUUAUGCUAAGUGAAUAAGUCAGACAGAGAAAGAUAAAACAAAUGAGUCCUAGGCUUCCCUGAAACAGACUCAUAGAUACAGAGAACAAACUAGUGGUUGAGAGAAUGGGAGGAUGGGUGAAAUAGGUGAAGGAGAUUAAGAGAUACAAAUUACCAGUUAUAAAAUAAAUGGGUCACAGGGAUGUAAUGCACAGCACAGGGAAUAUAGUCAAUAAUAUUAUAAUAACUUUGUAUGGCACAUAAUUGAUACAAAUAUAGAAUCACUAUGUUGUACAUCUGAAACAAAUAUAUUGUAAGUCAACUCUACUUCAAUUAAACAUUUUUAAUGAAAAAAAUAAAAGUGUGGCAGUUCAGUUUAAGAACAUUAGUUGAAAUGGGGAGGGGUUUUUCCCUCCAAUAAAAACUGAAUACAAGGAACCUGUGGUCAGAAGGUCUGAAAGGGAUGGAGCAGGCUAACCCUUAAUGAACUCCUGAAAAUGAGCCACCAGAUCUCCCUACUCAUACACGGUCCCACACUGAGGAGAAAUUGCUGAGAACAGAAUUCAAAUUGAGCAGAACAGGGACAAUAAAGAAUAAGGAAAGAAAAGGUCUAGAUAAGAAUGGGAUAGAGGACCAGAACCAAGAACUCUCAUCAAGCAAGUCAUCCUAUUCCUUUAACAUACAUAAAAACAGCAGAAAGGGAGCCUCUGUGAAGUUAGAAAAGCCACCCUGAACCAUACUUCUUUCUAAAAGUUCAGGAAAGCUUAGUACACAUAAGAAUGAGCAACAGAUUGUGAUGAUGGUUGCACAGUUCUGAAUAUACUAAAAACCACUGAAUUGUACAUUUUAAAUGGGUAAAUUUUAUGGUAUGUGGAAAAUAUCUCAAUAAAGCUGUGAGAAAAAUGAAUGGAAAAUUAAUCAAGGUCAGAUCCCACACAAAAUUAUUAUAAGGAGAAAAAGGAGAGAAUCAAAAGCAUUCCAUGUUCCUUAUCUAUUUUAUGUAUAGUAGUUUGUAUCCGUUAAUCCCAUACUCCUAAUUUGUCCCUCCCUCCCUCCCUCCCUCCCUCUCUGCUUUGGUAACCAUAAAUUUGUUUUUUAUGUCUGUGAGUCAGUUUCUGUUUUGUAUAUAGAUUCAUUUGUAUUAUUUUUUAGACUCCACAUGUAAGUGAUAUAAAGGAUAUAAACUGAAAAAAUAUAUGUAUAUAACUGAAUCACUUUGCUGUACACCUGAAACUAACACAGUAUUGUAAACCAACUAUACUUCAAUUAACAAAAAAGAGAGAAAAAAGGGGGAGAAAAACAUUCCAGAAAGACACACUCAAAAAACAACAAAUUUAAAAUAUACUGUUUAAAAGUGAGUUGGAAGACAUUAAGAAAAUUAAAUAAGACAUGGAAGAACAAUACAAAGCAGGAUUAGAAAAACUCAGAAAUGUAGUGACAACUUGGGGGAAGUAAGAAGAAAGAAUCACUUUAGAAAUGAAGGCUGAGGGACUUCCCUGGUGGUCAGUGGUUAAGAAUCCGCCUUCCAGUGCAGGGGAUGCGAGUUCGAUCUCUGGUCGGGGGACUAAGAUCCCACAUGCCGUGGGGCAACUAAGCCCAUGCACUCUAGAGCCCAUGAGCCACAACUAGACAGCCCACGUGCCGCAACAAAGAGCCUGCGUGCCACAACUAAGAUCCAAUGAAGCCAAGUAAAUUAAAAAAGAAAUCAAGGCUGGGACUUCCCUGGCGGUCCAGUGGUUAAGACUCCAUGCUUCCACUGCAGCAAGCGCAGGUUCGAUCCCUGGUUGGGGAAUUAAGAUCCCACAUGCCAUGUGGUGUGGUCAAAAAAUAAAAAUAAAAAAAAUAGAGAUGAAGGCUAAGGCAGAAUGCUCUUUGACAUAAAUCAUAGCAAUAUUUUUAUGGAUCUGUCUCAGACAAAGGAAACAAAAGCAAAAGUAAACAAAUGGGACCUAAUUAAACUUAAAAACUUUUGCACAGCAAAGGAAACCAACAGCAAAAUGAAAAGACAACCUACAGAAUGGGAGAAAAUAUUUUGCAAAUGAUAUGCCCAAUAAGGGGUUAAUAUCCAAAAUAUAUAGAUAGCUCAUAUAACUCAAAUAAAGAAAACUUAAAAAUGGGCAGACAACCUGAGUAGACGUCUUUCCAAAGAAGAUAUACAGAUGGCCAACAGGAACAUGAAAAGAGGCUCAACAUUGCUAAUCAUCAGAGAAAUGCAAAUCAAAACUAUAAUGAGAUAACACCUCACACCUCUCAGAAUGGCUAUCAUCAAGAAGUCUACAAAUAACAAAUGUUGGCGAGGAUGUAUAGAAAUGGGAACCCUAGUACACUGUUGGUGGGAAUAUAAAUUGGCGUAGCUACUACGGAAGGCAGUGUGGCAGUUUGUCAAAAAAUUGAAAUAGAACUAUCAUAUGAUCCAGCAAUUCUACCCCUGGGGGGUUUUGGGGGGGUUUUUUUGCGGUACACGGGCCUCUCACUGCUGCGGCCCCUCCCACUGUGGAGCACAGGCUCUGGACGUGCAGGCCCAGCGGCCAUGGCUCACGGGCCCAGCUGCUCUGCAGCAUGUGGGAUUCUCCCGGACCGGGGCACAAACCCGCGUCCGCCGCAUCGGCAGGUGGGCUCCCAACCAUUGUGCCACCAGGGAAGCCCCUACCCCUGGGUUUUUAUCCACAGAAAAUGGAAACGCUAAUUCAAAAAGAUACAUGCAUCCCAGUGUUCAUAGAAUCAUUGUUUACAUUAGCCAGUAUAUGGAAGCAACCAAAGGUGUCCAUCAGUAGAUGAAAAGAUAUAGAAGAUGUGGUGUAUAUAUAUACAGUGGAGUAUUAGCCCUAAAAAGACUGAAACUCUGCCAUUUUCAACAACAUGGAUGGCCCCUAGAGGGUAUUAAUGCUUAGUGAAAUAAGUCAGAGAAAGAAAAAUACUGUAUGAUAUCAUUGAUAUGUGGAAUCUAAAAAAUAAUCUAAUAAAAGUAUAACAAAACAGAACCAGACUCACAGAUAUAGAGGACAAACUAGUGGAUACCAGUGAGGAGAAAAAAGGGAGGGAAGGGCAAGAUGAUAGGAAAUUGAGGUACUAGCUACUAUGUAUAAAAUGAAUAAGCUACAAAGAUACAUUGUACAGCACAGGGAAUAUAGCCAUUUUUUUAACAUCUUUAUUGGAGUAUAAUUGCUUUACAGUGGUGUGUUAGUUUCUGCUUUAUAACAAAGUGAAUCAGUUAUACAUAUGUCCCCAUAUCUCUUCCCUCUUGCAUCUCCCUCCCUCCCACCCUCCCUAUCCCACCCCUCUAGGUGGUCACAAAGCACCGAGCUGAUCUCCCUGUGCUAUGCGGCUGCUUCCCACUAGCUAUCGGUUUUACAUUUGGUAGUGUAUAUAUGUCCAUGCCACUCUCUCACUUUGUCCCAGCUUACACUUCCCCCUCCCCAUGUCCUCAAGUCCAUUCUCUAGUAGGUCUGUGUCUUUAUUCCCAUCCUGCCCCUAGGUUCUUCAUGACUUUUUUUGUUUUAGAUUCCAUAUAUAUGUGUUAGCAUAUGGUAUUUGUUUUUCUCUUUCUGACUUACUUCACUCUGUAUGACAGACUCUAGGUCCAUCCACCUCACUACAAAUAACUCAGUUUCGUUUCUUUUUAUGGCUGAGUAAUAUUCCAUUGUAUAUAUGUGCCACAUCUUCUUUAUCCAUUCAUCUGUCAAUGGACACUUAGGUUACUUCCAUGUCCUGGCUAUUGUAAAUAGAGCUGCAGUGAACAUUGUGGUACAUGACUCUUUGAAUUAUGGUUUUCUCAGGGUAUAUGCCCAGUAGUGGGAUUGCUGGGUUGUAUGGUAGUUCUAUUUUUAGUUUUUUAAGGAACCUCCAUACUGUUCUCCAUAGUGGCUAUAUCAAUUUACAUUCCCACCAACAGUGCAAGAGGGUUCCCUUUUCUCCACACCCUCUCCAGCAUUUAUUGUUUGUAGAUUUUUUGAUGAUGGCCAUUCUGACCGCUGUGAGGUGAUAUCUCAUUGUAGUUUUGAUUUGCAUUUCUCUAAUGAUUAACAAUGUUGAGCAUUCUUUCAUGUGUUUGUUGGCAAACUGUAUAUCUUCUUUGGAGAACUGUCUAUUUACAUCUUCUGCCCAUUUUUGGAUUGGGUUGUUUGUUUUUUUUUUUUGUUUUUAAUAUGUAUAAUUGUGAUAGAAAUUUUUUUAAUUAAUUAAUUUAUGGCUGUGUUGGGUCUUCGUUUCUGUGCAAGGGCUUUCUCUAGUUGCAGCGAGUGGGGGCCACUCUUCAUCGCGGUGUGCAUGCCUCUCACAGUUGCAGCCUCUCUUGUUGCGGAGCACAAGCUCCAGACGCACAGGCUCAGUAGCUGUGGCUCAUGGGCCUAGUUGCUCCGCGGCAUGUGGGAUCUUCCCAGACCAGGGUUCGAACCCGUGUCCCCUGCACUGGCAGGCACAUUCUCAACCACCAGGGAAGCCUGGGUUGUUUGUUUUUUUGAUAUUGAGCUGCUUGUAAAUUUUGGAGAUUAAUCCUUUGUCAUUUGCUUCAUUUGCAAAUAUUUUCUCCCAUUCUGACGGUUGUCUUUUCAUCUUGUUUAUGGUUUCCUUUGCUGUGCAAAAGAUUUUAACUUUCAUUAGGUCCCAUUUAUUUUAUUUUUGUUUUUAUUUCCAUUUCUGUAGGAGGUGGGUUAAAAAGGAUCUUGUUGUGCUGUAUGUCAUACAGUGUUCUUCCUAUAUUUUCCUCUAAGAGUUUUAUAGUGUUUGGCCUUACAUUUAGGUCUUUUAUCCAUUUUGAGUUUAUUUUUGUGUAUGGUGUUAGGGAUUGUUCGAAUUUCAUUCUUUUACAUGUAGCUGUCCAGUUUUUCCAGCACCACUUGUUGAAGAGGCUGUCUUUUCUCCAUUGUAUAUUCUUGCCUCCUUUAUCAAAAAUAAGGUGACCUAUGUGCAUGGGUUUAUCUCUGGGCUUUCUAUCCUGUUCCAUUGAUCUGUAUUUCUGUGUUUGUGCCUGUACCAUACUGUCUUGAUUACUGUAGCUUUGUAGUCUAAUCUGAAGUCAGGGAGCCUGAUUCCUCCAGCUCUGUUUUUCUUUCUCAAGAUUGCUUUGGCUAUUCGGGGUCUUUUGUGUUUCCAUACAAAUUGUGAAUUUUUUUGUUCUAGUUCUGUGAAAAAUGCCAGUGGUAGUUUGAUAGGGAUUGCGUUGAAUCUGUAGAUUGCUUUGGGUAGUAGAGUCAUUUUCACAAUGUUGAUUCUUCCAAUCCAAGAACAUGGUAUAUCUCUCCAUCUAUUUGUAUCAUCUUUAAUUCCUUUCAUCAGUGUCUUAUAGUUUUCUGCAUACAGGUCUUUUGUCUCCUUAGGUAGGUUUAUUCCUAGGUAUUUUAUCCUUUUUGUUGCCAUGGUAAAUGGGAGUGUUUUCUUAAUUUCACUUUCAGAUUUUUCAUCAUUAGUGUAUAGAAAUGCAAGAGAUUUCUCUGCAUUAAUUUUGUAUCCUGCAACUUUACCAAAUUCAUUGAUUAGCUCUAGUAGUUUUCUGGUAGCAUCUUUAGGAUUCUCUAGGUAUAGUAUCAUGUCAUCUGCAGUGACAGCUUUACGUCUUCUUUUCUGAUUUGGAUUCCUUUUAUUUCUUUUUCUUCUCUGAUUGCUGGGGCUAAUACUUCCAAAACAAUGUUGAAUAAUAGUGGUGAGAGUGGGCAACCUUGUCUUCUUCCUGAUCAUAGUGGAAAUGGUUUCAGUUUUUCACCAUUGAGGACGAUGUUGGCUGUGGGUUUGUCAUAUAUGGCCUUUAUUAUGUUGAGGUAAGUUCUCUCUAUGCCUACUUUCUGCAGGGUUUUUAUCAUAAAUGGGUGUUGAAUUUUGUCAAAAGCUUUUUCUGCAUCUAGUGAGAUGAUCAUAUGUUUUUUAUUCUUCAAUUUUUUAAUAUGGUGUAUCACAUUGAUUGAUUUGCAUAUAUUGAAGAAUCCUUGCAUUCCUGGGACAAACCCAACUCGAUCAUGGUGUAUGAUCCUUUUAACGUGCUGUUGGAUUCUGUUUGCUAGUAUUUUGUUGAGGAUUUUUGUAUCUAGGUUCAUCAGUGAUAUUGGCCUGUAGUUUCCUUUCUUUGUGACACCUUUGUCUGGUUUUGGUAUCAGUGUGAUGGUGGCCUCGUAGAAUGAGUUUGCGGGUGUUCCUCUCUCUGCUAUAGUUUGCAAGAGUUUGAGAAGGAUAGGUGUUAGCUCUUCUGUAAAUGUGUGAUGGAAUUCGCCUUUGAAGCCAUGUGGUCCUGGGCUUUUGUUUGUUUGAAGGUUUUUAAUCACAGUCUCAAUUUCAGUGCUUGUGAUCGGUCUGUUUAUAUUUUCUGUUUCUUCCUGGUUCAGUCAUGGAAGGUUGUACUUUUCUAACAAUUUGUCCAUUUCUUCCAGGUUGUCCAUUUUAUUGGCAUAUAGUUGCUUGUAGUAAUUUCUCAUGAUCCUUUGUAUUCCUGCAGCGUCAGUUUUUUCUCCUUUUUCUUUUCUAAUUCUAUUGAUUUGAGUCUCCUUCCUUUUUUUCUUGAUGAGUCUGGCUAAUGGUUUAUCAAUUUUGUUUGUCUUCUCAAAGAACCAGCUUUUAGUUUUAUUGCUCUUUCCUAUUCUUUCCUUCAUUUCUUUUUCAUUUAUUUCUCAUCUGAUCUUUAUGAUUUCUUUCCUUCUGCUAACUUUGGGGUUAUUUUGUUCUUCUUUGUCUAAUUGCUUUAGGUGUAAGUUUAGGUUGUUUAUUUGAGAUGUUUCUUGUUUUUUAAGGUAGGACUGUACUGCUAUAAACUUCGCUCUUGGAACUGCUUUUGCUGCAUCCCAUAGGUUUUGGGUCGUAGUGUUUUCAUUGUCAUUUGUUUCUAGGUAUAUUUUGAUUUCCUCUUUAAUUUCUUCCCUGAUCUCUUGGUUAUUAAGUAGUGUAUUUUUUAGCCUCCACAUGUGUGUAUAUUUUACAAUAUUUUUCCUGUAAUUCAUAUCUCGUUUCAUAACGUUGUGGUCGGAAACCAUACUUGAUACGAUUUCCAUUUUCUUAAAUGUACCAGGGUUUGGUUUGUGACCCAAGAUAUGAUCUAUCCUGGAGAAUGUUCCAAUACACUUGAGAAGAAAGUGUAUUCUGUUGUUUUUGGAAGGAAUGUCUUAUAAAUAUCAAUUUAGUCCAUCUUGUUUAAUGUAUCAUUUAAAGCUUGUGUUUCCUUAUUUAUUUUCAUUUUGGAUGAUCUGUCCAUUGGUGAAAGUGGGGUGUUAAAGUCCCCUACUAUGAUUGUGUUACUGUCUAUUUCCCCUUUUAUGACUAUUAGCAUUUGCCUUAUAUAUUAAGGUGCUCCUAUGUUGGGUGCAUAAAUAUUUACAGUUGUUAUAUCUUCUUCUUGGAUUGAUCCCUUGAUUAUUAUGUAGUGUCCUUCUUUGUCUCUUAUAAUAGUCUUUGUUUUAAAGUCUAUUUUGUCUGAUAUGAGAAUUGCUACACCAGCUUUCUUUUGAUUUCCAUUUGCAUGGAAUAUCGUUUUCCAUCCCCUCACUUUCAGUCUGUAUGUGUCCCUAGGUCUCAAGGGGGUCUCUUGUAGACAGUAUAUAUAUGGGUCUUGGUUUUGUAUCCAUUCAGCCAGUCUAUGUCUUUUCGUUGGAGCAUUUAAUCUAUUUACAUUUAAGGUAAUUAUCGGUAUGUAUGUUCCUAUUACCAUUUUGUUAAUUGGUUUGGGUUUGUUAUUGUAGGUCUUUUCCUUCUCGUGUGUUUCCUGCCUAGAGAAGUUCCUUUAGUAUUUGUUGUAAAGCUGGUUUGGUGGUGCUGAACUCUCUCAGCUUUUACUUGUCUGUAAAAUUUUAAUUUCUCCGUCAAAUCUGAAUGAGAUCCUUGCUGGGUAGAGUAAUAUUGGUUGUAGGUUUUUCCCUUUCAGCACUUUAAAUAUGUCCUGCAACUCCCUUCUUGCUUGCAGAGUUUCUGCUGAAAGAUCACCUGUAACCUUAUGGGGAUUCCCUUGUAUGUUAUUUGUUGUUUUUCCCUUGCUGCUUUUAAUAUGUUUUCUUUGUAUUUAAUUUUUGAUAGUUUGAUAACUAUGUGUCUUGGCGUGUUUCUCCUUGGAUUUAUCCUGUAUGGGAUUCUCUGUGCUUCCUGGACUUGAUUAACUAUUUCCUUUCCCAUAUUAGGGUAGUUUUCCACUUUAAUCUCUUCAAAUAUUUUCUCAGUCCCUUUCUUUUUCUCUUCUUCUUCUGGAACCCCUGUAAUUCGCAUGUUGGUGCGUUUUAAUGUUUUCCCAGAGGUCUCUGAGACUGUCCUCAGUUCUUUUCGUUCUUUUUUCUUUAUUCUGCUCUGCAGUAGUUAUUUCCACUAUUUUAUCUUCCAGGUCGCUUAUCCAUUCUUCUGCCUCAGUUAUUCUGCUAUUGAUUCCUUCUAGAGAGUUUUUAAUUUCAUUUAUUGUGUUGUUCAUUAUUGUUUCUUUGCUCUUUAGUUCUUCUAGGUCCUUGUUAAAUGUUUCUUGUAUUUUCUCCCUUCUAUUUCCAAGAUUUUGGAUCAUCUUUACUUUCAUUACUCUGAAUUCUUUUUCAGGUAGACUGCCUAUUUCCUCUUCAUUUGUUUGGUCUGAUGGAUUUUUACCUUGUUCCUUCAUCUGCUGUGUGUUUCUCUGUCUUCUCAUUUUGCUUAACUUACUGUGUUUGGUGUCUCCUUUUCGCAGGCUGCAGGUUCUUAGUUCCCGUUGUUUUUGGUAUUUGCUCCCACUGGGUAAGGUUGGUUCAGUCGGUUGUGUAGGCUUCCUGGUGGAGGGGACUAGUGCCUGUGUUCUGGUGCAUGAGGCUGGAUCUUGUCUUUCUGGUGGGCAGGACCAUGUCCGGUGGUGUGUUUUGGGGUGCCUGUGGCCUUAUUAUGAUUUUAGGCAGCCUCUCUGCUAAUGGAUGGGGCUGUGUUCCUGUCUUGCUAGUUGUUUGGCAUAGGGGUCCAGCACUGUAGCUUGCUGGUCGUUGAGUGGAGCUGGGUGUUGGCAUUGAGAUGGAGAUCUCUGGGAGAUUUUCGCCAUUUGAUAUUAUGUGGAGCUGGGAGGUCUCUGGUGGACCAGUGUCCUGAACUCGGCUCUCCCACCAGAGAGGCACUGGCCUGAUGCCCUGCUGGAGCACCACGACCCUGUCAUCCACAUGGCUUAGAAUAAAUAGGAGAAAGAAAGGAAGAAAGAAAAAAUAAAAUAAAGUUAUUAAAAUAAAAAAUAAUUAUUAAAAAAUUUUUAAAUUUUAAAAAGUAGUAAAAAAAAAAAAAGAAAGAAAGAAGGAAGAGAGCAGCCAAACCAAAAAACAAGUCCACCAAUGAUAACAAGCACUAAAAGCUAUACUAAAAAAACCCCAGAAAAACAGACAGACAGAACCCUAGGACAAAUGGUAAAAGCAAAGCUAUACAGACAAAAUCACACAC